GAAGAAGAAGAAGAAAAAGAAAAAGAAAAAGAAAGCGGAAGUCUCGUUGUUUGACUGGGAUGUGUGGCUGGCGGCGGGAUAGCUGUGCUGUUUGUUAUUAGUGAGUUUGAAGAAGACAGAGCUCCAGAAUCCAGAGGGAGUCCAGCAGCCCCAGUGGAGAUCUGCUGGAUCUCAGGACCAGAGAGGAAUGGAGGAGGACAACCAGAUCCAGGAGCAGCGGAGCACCGAGGUCCCCAGAAGACCAGCAGCAGACUGGGACUCUGAUAGCAGCCAUGUUCAGUGAGGAUAACACAUGGGAGCCACAAGACAACCUGGACUGCCCCGACCUUAUCGCCGAGUACAUGCAGAAACACAAGGAGAAGGAGGAGAAGAAGAAG
This is a long non-coding RNA of Perca fluviatilis (European perch), 377 nucleotides long. RefSeq lists it as uncharacterized. The transcript has 3 exons. The record is from RefSeq and is a predicted model, not a curated record. NCBI's taxonomy places the organism in Eukaryota, Metazoa, Chordata, Actinopteri, Perciformes, Percidae.